Molecule: ribosomal RNA, 444 nt
Filed under: uncultured bacterium
Lineage: Bacteria
Description: SSU rRNA
Rfam family: Bacterial small subunit ribosomal RNA
Source: RNAcentral
AGAGCGAACGCUGGCGGCAGGCCUAACACAUGCAAGUCGAGCGCCCCGCAAGGGGAGCGGCAGACGGGAGAGUAACACGUGGGAACGUACCCUUCAGUUCGGAACAACCCAGGGAAACUUGGGCUAAUACCGGAUACGUCCGUAAGGAGAAAGAUUUAUCGCUGAAGGAUCGGCCCGCGUCUGAUUAGCUUGUUGGUGAGGUAACGGCUCACCAAGGCGACGAUCAGUAGCUGGUCUGAGAGGAUGAUCAGCCUCACUGGGACUGAGACACGGCCCAGACUCCUACGGGAGGCAGCAGUGGGGAAUAUUGGACAAUGGGCGCAAGCCUGAUCCAGCCAUGCCGCGUGGGUGAUGAAGGCCCUAGGGUUGUAAAGCCCUUUCGGCGGGGAAGAUAAUGACGGUACCCGCAGAAGAACGCCCGGCUAACUUCGCGCCAGCAGCCGC